GAUGAACGCUAGCGGCAGGCUUAAUACAUGCAAGUCGAGGGGCAGCACGGUUAGCAAUAACUGGUGGCGACCGGCGCACGGGUGCGUAACACGUAUACAAUCUACCUUAAACAGGGGGAUAGCCUUUCGAAAGAGAGAUUAAUACCCCGUAAUAAAUUGAACGGCAUCGUUUGAUUUUGAAGCUCCGGCGGUUUGAGAUGAGUAUGCGUCUGAUUAGCUAGUUGGUGAGGUAACGGCUCACCAAGGCGACGAUCAGUAGGGGAUCUGAGAGGACUAACCCCCACACUGGGUACUGAGACACGGACCAGACUCCUACGGGAGGCAGCAGUAAGGAAUAUU
This 339-nucleotide ribosomal RNA is filed under the name uncultured bacterium. RNAcentral's name for it is "bacterial SSU rRNA". It matches the Rfam family "Bacterial small subunit ribosomal RNA", at positions 28 to 365 of the family's 1533-position model. The record is from RNAcentral.